UCCUUUGGCAAGCCCCUCUUGUUUUUUUGUAAUCGCACUUUGGUGAACCCCUUGGACGUGAGCGAACUGUCAAGCGAUUUGUCAACACACAUUUUGUUUUGUGUUUUUGCAUUCGUAAAUAUUUUUGUUGUGCUCCUAACCGGAAAGGUUCACCACGAACAUUAUUCUCCGAUUCUGAAUCUUCCGCUAAACUCCCGACAUAAAUAUUUCCAUUCGGAUGGAAAGUUGAUAUCAUCUGGGAUUGAUAUCGUCUGUGGUGAGAAUUUGCCCUCAGAUUUCCUCACAAUUUUGCCUGUGCUUUGAUGAACACCCAUCGUCGUCGUCGGAUCUCAGGCAAUUCCUCCUCCCAUCGCGGUGCUAAAUGUGUCGGACCGUGAUAAUAAUGGUUGGAAUGAGCAACUUUACAUAGGGUCCGGCCAUCAUUGGGGUCGUUGGAGCAGUCGUAGGUGCGCAAGCCCAAAAGCCGUCAAAAGUGAGCCUCAAGCGGAGCAACGGACGGAAAGGAAACGUAUGUCGUCGUUUUUGGAUACUUUCUUUGUCCUCUACUUCCUCCGGAGCGCUGCACUAGCUACCCGCUAAAGAUCCCUCCCAGCAAACGCUCGAAGAUUAAGUGUGCUGGUCGCAUCAAUUCCCGGCUUACGCCAGCGCUAACCCAUAAGCGAUAUACAUAUUCCCAGUGAAGACGUAGUGUCUCUCGAUGGAGCAGAAACAGCCCUUCCGGAAGCGGGUACGCCAGUCAAGGGCAGCGAUCAACCUCACCCGUAGAAAGUCCCGCAGGAUAAUAGUGCAAAUUCCCGGCAGACAGAGUUGCCGGUUAAGGUCGACAAUGUACCGCCUCCAUACAACAACCCGAAGCAGUUGGAUGUCCUCAUUCCGAGGGUUCCAUCAGUCGAAAGGCUACUCGUGCGAAGUGGAAUAGUUCUGCUGCAUGUGAACGAGGCCAGCACAUACCUUUGCGGUUGCCUUAAAAUAACUGGACUAACUUGAGAGUUCCAAACGCCCACGACGUUCUUUUAAGAAGAGAUUGUUUCUAAGAAGGAUCCAUUUUUCACCUGAAAGUCUAAGAUUUCAGGAGUAUACUGCCCCCACUCGCAUAACUGUCCCAUUUGACUUUUCAUCACUUUUGAGUUAAGGUUAUGAAUAGUCAUUAUUUUCGAUGUACUUCCAAAAACAAUAAUAAAAAUUAUGAUUUUUUAUGUCAAUAUGUGAAAAAAAUACCAAGUCAUGAGCGUCCCAUAUCAAAAGUACCCGCAUAACAGUCCCAUCAUGGAUUUUUGUGUCACGUAACACAAAACUGAACAACUUUGUAGUGAUUGUAAUAUUUUUUACAGUUAUAUAUUCAUGUGCAAAGCAAUCUGUGAAAGUCUCGAGAUGAUCGAAAUAUUCUUCGAAUUUUGGCGGUUUUCAAAGUUUUAUAUGGAAACAAGUUUUCAAACUUCAAAUGCUGUUUUCUCAAUUCCUACUUUUUGCAAAUGGGACUGUUAUGCGAGUGGGGGCAGUAUACUAGUGGUUUAAUUGGAAAUCUUUUUUUUUAAAGCUGUUGGUUGACAAAUAAAGAUAUAGGAUUCACAAAGCG
Aedes albopictus (Asian tiger mosquito) is the source of this 1576-nucleotide long non-coding RNA. RefSeq lists it as uncharacterized. The transcript is spliced from 2 exons. The record is from RefSeq and is a predicted model, not a curated record. Lineage: Eukaryota; Metazoa; Arthropoda; Insecta; Diptera; Culicidae.